This 232-nucleotide ribosomal RNA is filed under the name uncultured Eubacteriales bacterium. Its description in RNAcentral is "uncultured Clostridiales bacterium partial 16S ribosomal RNA". It matches the Rfam family "Bacterial small subunit ribosomal RNA", at positions 103 to 334 of the family's 1533-position model. Lineage: Bacteria; Bacillati; Bacillota; Clostridia; Eubacteriales. The record is from RNAcentral.
CGGGUAGAGUAACGCGUGAGUAACCUGCCUUACACAAGGGGAUAGCCUUUGGAAACGAAGAAUAAUACCCUAUAAAACCAUAAAAGCACAUGCUAGAAUGGUCAAAGUGAUAGCGGUGUAAGAUGGACUUGCGUCUGAUUAGCUAGUUGGUGAGAUAAAAGCUCACCAAGGCAACGAUCAGUAGCCGGCUUGAGAGAGUGUACGGCCACAUUGGGACUGAGACACGGCCCAG